UAACGCGAAGAACCUUACCAGGUCUUGACAUCCUUUGACCACUCUAGAGAUAGAGCUUCCCCUUCGGGGGCAAAGUGACAGGUGGUGCAUGGUUGUCGUCAGCUCGUGUCGUGAGAUGUUGGGUUAAGUCCCGCAACGAGCGCAACCCUUAUUGUUAGUUGCCAUCAUUCAGUUGGGCACUCUAGCAAGACUGCCGGUGACAAACCGGAGGAAGGUGGGGAUGACGUCAAAUCAUCAUGCCCCUUAUGACCUGGGCUACACACGUGCUACAAUGGGAAGUACAACGAGUCGCGAAGUCGCGAGGCUAAGCUAAUCUCUUAAAGCUUCUCUCAGUUCGGAUUGCAGGCUGCAACUCGCCUGCAUGAAGCCGGAAUCGCUAGUAAUCGCGGAUCAGCACGCCGCGGUGAAUACGUUCCCGGGUCUUGUACACACCGA
RNAcentral lists this ribosomal RNA (435 nucleotides) under uncultured Enterococcus sp. RNAcentral's name for it is "bacterial SSU rRNA". It matches the Rfam family "Bacterial small subunit ribosomal RNA", at positions 957 to 1393 of the family's 1533-position model. Lineage: Bacteria; Bacillati; Bacillota; Bacilli; Lactobacillales; Enterococcaceae. The record is from RNAcentral.